UACGAAGGGUGCAAGCGUUACUCGGAAUUACUGGGCGUAAAGCGUGCGUAGGUGGUUUGUUAAGUCUGAUGUGAAAUCUAUGGGCUCAACUCAUAGUCUGCAUCGGAAACUGCCGGGCUUGAGUAUGGGAGAGGUGAGUGGAAUUCCUGGUGUAGCGGUGAAAUGCGUAGAUAUCAGGAGGAACACCUGUGGCGAAAGCGGCUCACUGGACCAUAACUGACGCUGAUGCACGAAAGCUAGGGGAGCAAACAGG
RNAcentral lists this ribosomal RNA (253 nucleotides) under uncultured prokaryote. RNAcentral describes it as "partial 16S ribosomal RNA". It matches the Rfam family "Bacterial small subunit ribosomal RNA", at positions 524 to 776 of the family's 1533-position model. The record is from RNAcentral.